ACUCAAAGCAGUGCUAUAGUCAUGCAGUCUGUUCAACCACCAAUCUCCUCAGAUAAUGAGGAAGGAGCUGAUCUGCACUAUGCAGCCUUUCAGCACCUCAACCCAACCCAAGCUGGGCCUUCUGCAAAGCAGUCUGAGGACACCGUGACCUACAGCACCAUCAUGCAGUUAUCUGGUGGUGAAGACCAGAACAGCAGCAGACCUGCUGGCAGACCUGUGGACCCCACUGCUUUGUAUGCUACUGUUCAGAAGAAUAACAAGAUACAGAAUUAACAGUCAUUUGGAUACACAUACACACUCACACAAACACUCAAACACACACACACAUACUCAAACACUUACACACA
Clupea harengus (Atlantic herring) is the source of this 347-nucleotide long non-coding RNA. Lineage: Eukaryota; Metazoa; Chordata; Actinopteri; Clupeiformes; Clupeidae. The record is from Ensembl.